AGAUCUAGCAAGGUUCGCGCUCUGCGCUCACAAGAUACAUGAAGCGUGGGAGCGAGAAACUAUAAUCAAGUACAAACCGUGCGAGAGAAAAAGAGACAGCGAAUGAAGUACCAAUACGUCAUUGUUUUCGCGAGUAAGAGGCCAUAGCGUCCCGGUGAGUUGCACGCGGUAGUGAGAUUUGUGCAUUUUUAUGGUGAUUCUUAAUUAAAACAAGCUAAUAUUACGUUAUACAAUUAUGGUAUCGUGCUCUGUACCUGGAUGUAACGUUACAAGACGAAAUAAUCCGAAUCAACACACUUUUCACAGGUUUCCUCGCAAUUCUGCUUUAAUGGAAAAAUGGAUGCGUACUAUAAAUAGACCAGAUUGGACUCCUAGUACGAACUCCACUAUCUGUAGCAAACAUUUCGACAGCAAAUGUUUUAUACAAAGAAAACAUCGCCGUGUAUUAAUGAAAGACUCGAUACCUACAUUAUUUGUUCCUGUUAAACUGCCACGAAGGAGACCGGUAUCUUCGUAUGUCAACAGAGACAUUACUCUUUCGCCGAAGCAAGUCACUUCAUCCCAGCUUGCUGAAUCAACGCCUGGACCCUCAAACCUAGUCCUCACUCCAAGGAAAAAGAAAUUGAUGGACCGUAAUACACGGCUAAACGAAAAAUUUUAGAAAAAAAUAGGGUAUUAAGAAAUUUAAAGGAAAAAAAUAAAAGAAUGACAAAAAGAAUUCUUACUUUACAAGAGGUUGUUAAAGAAUUGAAUAACAGACCAGGGCUUGAAAAUCAUCGUAAUGAUGUGGAAGUCGCGUGCCGCAACAAUUUAUUGCAAAAAUUGGUAAAUAGGGUAAAUGGAAGAGCCACCGGAAAAAUCAGUCGCACGUCUGAGUAUGACGAAGAACUUAAGAAAUUGGCUUUAACUAUACAUUUUUACAGUCCUAGGAGCUACGUUUAUAUUAGAGAUAAAUUCGAUCUAUGUUUACCACAUGUUAAUACCUUGCAAAAGUGGUAUUCUCGUUUAAAUUGCGAGCCAGGUUUUACUCAAGAAUCGUUCAACACGAUUACGGAAAUUGCUAAAAAGAAACCGAUUUAUGUAAACUUAACUUUUGACGAAAUCAAAAUAAGAGAAGAAACAGAAUUUUUAGGUAAAAAACACUAUGAUACGUAAAUGUAGGAAACGAUUUGGGAGGCGACGAGAUAGAGAUUGCCAAGGAAGUACUGGUUUUUAUGGUAGUCGCAGUAAAUGGCUACUGGAAAUUGCCUGUCGGUUUUUUUCCGGCUAAAAGCUUUGCAGCUACUGAAAAAUCAAGACUAUUAAAAUAUGUCUUGAUUUAUUAAAAGAAACAAAUUGUGUCGUGGUUGGAAUAACAUUUGACGGCAUCGCAUCUAAUCUUACUAUGGCUCAAACACUUGGUGCGUCUAUACUUAAACCACCUUAUAAACCAUACUUUAUGUACAAUGGUAGAAAGUACAAUAUUUUGUUUGAUCCAUGUCACUUAAUCAAACUUAUAAGAAAUUGUUUCGCCGACCAUAAAAUAUUUUACGAUAGUAUGGGACGUAAAAUUGACUUUACAUUUGUGGAAAAUUUGCAUUAUUUACAAAAAAGUGAAGGUUUACAUCUCGCGAACAAACUUUCAGCGCGAUACAUUGAUUUUCGAACUCAGAAGAUGAAGGUAAGGCUAGCUUCCCAAUUGCUAAGCAGAUCAGUGGGUGUCGCCAUUGAUGUUUGUAACAAGGAUCUUUGUAUUGAUAAAUUUAGGAAUUCUGAGGCAACAGUGCAGUUUCUUCUCCAUGUAAAUGAUAUUUUUGAUAUAUUCAAUUCAAAAAAUUUAAACAACUACGGGUUCAAAAAGCCUCUUUGUCCGGGUAACAAAGUGGAUGUCUUUAGCAAAAUAGAUGAAGUUUACGAGUAUUUUCAAUCCCUUAAAUAUGAAGAUGUUAGAUAUGUAAUAGAUACGUAGAGACGUCUCGGUUUUUUAGCGUUUAUAUUGAACAUUAUUUCACUGAAAUGGAUGUAUGUAAGUUAUAUUGAAAAAAAAGACCACUUAAAAUUCCUUCCUGUAUAUAAAUUGUCGCAAGACCACCUGGGAACAUUUUUCAGCGCCAUCAGAUCGAAAGGGGGAUUCAAUAAUAACCCCACUGUAAAAAACUUCAUUUCUGCGUAUAAAAAAUUAUUAUGCCAUACAGAAAUAAAAAUAAGCGAGAGUGGCAACUGCUUAGAAUUAGAAAAAAUCACAGUAUUGUCUACUAGCGCCAUUUCCACAAUUGAUAAAAUUAAUAGUUCAUCAAAUUAUAA
This is a long non-coding RNA of Aricia agestis (brown argus), 2283 nucleotides long. RefSeq lists it as uncharacterized. The transcript is spliced from 3 exons. The record is from RefSeq and is a predicted model, not a curated record. Lineage: Eukaryota; Metazoa; Arthropoda; Insecta; Lepidoptera; Lycaenidae.